UACGUAGGGGGCUAGCGUUAUCCGGAUUUACUGGGCGUAAAGGGUGCGUAGGCGGGGAUGCAGGUCAGAUGUGAAAUCCCGCGGCUCAACCGCGGAACUGCAUCUGAAACUGCGUCUCUUGAGUGUCGGAAGGGAAAGUGGAAUUCCUAGUGUAGCGGUGAAAUGCGUAGAUAUUAGGAGGAACACCGGUGGCGAAGGCGACUUUCUGGACGAUAACUGACGCUGAGACGCGAAAGCGUGGGGAGCAAACAGGAUUAGAUACCCCCGUAGUCCCUGA
Molecule: ribosomal RNA, 277 nt
Filed under: uncultured prokaryote
Description: partial 16S ribosomal RNA
Rfam family: Bacterial small subunit ribosomal RNA
Source: RNAcentral